CNGUAAACGAUGAGUGNUAAGUGUUAGGGGGUUUCCGCCCNUUAGUGCUGCAGCUAACGCAUUAAGCACUCCGCNUGGGGAGUACGGUCGCAAGACUGAAACUCAAAGGAAUUGACGGGGGCCCGCACAAGCGGUGGAGCAUGUGGCACCCNUAGANAUAGGGUUUCCCNUUNGGGGACANAGUNACAGGUGGNNCAUGGUUGUCGNCAGCUCGUGUCGUAAAAUGUUGGGUUAAGUCCCNCAACGAGCGCAACCCUUNAUCUUAGUUGCCAGCAUUCAGUUGGGCACUCUAAGGUGACUGCCGGUGACAAACCGAAGNAAGGUGGGNAUGACGUCAAAUCNUCAUGCCCCUUAUGACCUGGGCUACACACGUGCUACAAUGGACAGAACAAAGGGCUGCGAGACCGCAAGGUUUAGCCAAUCCCACAAAUCUGUUCUACAGUUCGGAUCGCANUCUGCAACUCGACUGCGUGAAGCUGGAAUCGGGUAGUAAUCGCGNANCAGCAUGCCGC
Molecule: ribosomal RNA, 512 nt
Filed under: fern endophytic bacterium F08
Lineage: Bacteria
Description: partial 16S ribosomal RNA
Rfam family: Bacterial small subunit ribosomal RNA
Source: RNAcentral